Molecule: long non-coding RNA, 3365 nt
Filed under: Sus scrofa (pig)
Lineage: Eukaryota; Metazoa; Chordata; Mammalia; Artiodactyla; Suidae
Description: lncRNA (ENSSSCG00005019457.1)
Source: RNAcentral
CAGAUUAUGUUGGGGGGAAAGAAGGCAGUUCUGAUGGUCAUAGCAGGUAGGCAGCCUCCCUGGUUUCGAGGGGCUUACUGAAUUUCUGGAGUCCUGAGUAAUUCUGGAAAUGUCCAUCUAGCAUCUCCCAUCAUUGCCAAGGAGGAACGUAAGCCCCCAGUGACCCAUGUGCUGUGACCCAUGAAAGGUGGUGCUGCGAGAGUCACGGGGCCCUGAGCACCCUCUGGUCUCCACUUAACCUUCAUUGCUUGAAUUCCCCCACCCACCCUUUCUCUGGCCCUUUCCCAUAAUGUCUUCAAACCAUUUCCUUCUAACUUUUUUUCUUUUCUAUUUAUUAAAUAAAGCUUUAUGAUCCUUUGUUCAUUAUUUAAUUUUUUUCCUGAUUAUAAAAUGCACGCUAGUGGUAAAAAUCCCAGCAAUACAAAAACGUGUUAAGUCCCCACUUUGCAUUUUCCUAAGGAGUCACACCUCAUCCAGCCAGCAGGCGCCGCGCAGUGGCUGCAGGUGCGGGAGCACAUGUCUUCUGUAUCCGUGGAAAUGUCUGAAAUCUAGGGACCUUGUUUAUAUCCUCUCUUACGACGUUCUCUUGUCAUUUAACCAUGUGACAUUCUCUCCUAGCUGGCCGAGUUUCCUCACUCAUUUUAACUGCUCCUGUGGGUAUGUACCAUCACCUACAAAACUGCUCCUCCAUCACGUAUUUGGCUGUUUCCAGCCUCUCACUAUGGCAAACACUGCUGCGACAUUGAUUCCUGGACAUAUCUGUGCGGUUUUGUAGAUUUGUAAUGUACCUGUUUAUAUGAGCUGAAAUCCUGAAAGCGCUCUUGCUGGCUCAAAGGGUAUGCAUAUUUGAAUUUAAGGAUAUAGGAGUUCCUGUCGUAGCUCAGUGGUUAACAACCCCGUCUAAGAUCCAUGAAGAUGCGAGUUCGAUCCCUGGCCUUACUCAGUGGGUUAAGGAUCCAGUGUCACUGUGAGCUGUGGUGUCGGUCGCAGACGCGGAUGGGAUCUGGCAUUGCUGUGACUGUGGCGUAGGUCGUCCCCUGUAGCUCAGAUUUGACCCCUAGCGUGGGAACUUCCGUGUGCUACGGGUGUGGCCCUAAAAAAAAAAAAACAAGUAAGGAUAUAGCUGAAUUGUCACCAAGAAUGACUAACUUCAGCCCAGCCCGGUGUUCUCUCAGCACAGUGAGGAGGCGCUGGUGGUCCGUGGCCCCCUCAGCACAGGGCAUCAGCAUCCAGCUUCAUCUUGGUUCUUCAUUUUACGGAGAGGUGAAUGGCUUGCAUCUCUUUCUUGUAAUGUGUAAAACCCGUGGGUGUGUCUGUGGCUGUGGCUGGAAAAUAUCCCUACCCAGACCAAGCUGGCUUCUCUCAGACUCCAGCCCUCGUGCCGUCUCUGGGCUUGUGUCCUGUGCGUCCUGCUGCAGCCACUCCCACGGCUCCCAAAGAGGCCCUCAAGUAGCCAAGGGCCACAGGCGCUCCCCUUUCUUUCUGUUCAUUCAUUGAUUCGACAGAAGCCCUGAGCAUCUUCCCUGAGCAGAGUAUCCUAUUUGGGGGCUCCCUGUGGCCACACUGGGGGCUUGUUCAGUGGCCUCAGUGCCAAGCCUGUUCAAACGUUCUAAUCCUCUCACUCCAUGCUUUGAAAACUGGCUCAUGAUACACAGUGACAAAUCCCUUUUACACAGUUGUGACCUAGGCUGUGUGCUCAUGCAAACACACACACACUUUCAUGAACCAAAAUUUACUCUUACUGCAUUUUUUACUCCAUUGUAUUUCAUCUAUUUCAUUUUUUAAAACCUCAGACCAUGAUAAGUCAUGACCUGCAGUGUGGAAACCACAGUUUGAAUUUCCCUAAACUCCAGCCCCGUUCUGAGUGAGGACCCCCCCUCCCGCCCCAGUUAUGGGAGGGGGGCUUUCCCAGUGUCCAGCACAGCAAAGGCAAGAGGCUGGGCUUGGAUCUGCAUCAGCAAAGAGCUCUGUUCAGAUGCAUCUCUGUCUUAGUAGCUGCAUCUAAGGCCAUGAGGGGACUAGGGUGGACCUUGGUGACCUGGUCAGGGGGUGAGUGUGGGGAGCCAGGAUGGUGUAGCUUUCUGGAGGCCCGGAGCCCUUCUUUUCUCUGGAGACUGGGUACGGGGAGAGGGCAGCUGCCUCUUCUCCCUUUUGUCCUCUUCCCCUUCCUGUCCCCUCUCAGAGAGAGAUGCCAGUGCUGGUGGUCAUGGCAGCGAACACCUGUCCAGCAUCUGUGUCCUAGGUGCUGGUCUGAGAGCCUUAUGUGAGUUAAUUCAAUGUAAUACAACAAAUCUAUUCCAUUAGCCCCAUGUCGCGAGAGGAAUUUGAGACAGAGAAGCCUGCCCAAGGCUUGUUUUUGUUCAAGCCACGCAGUGGGGCUCUCCCGUGUGGACCUGACCCUUGUGGAAAUUGGAGCUGAUGACAGAAUAGCAGACUCCUUUAACGGAUACGUCUUUCUUAGAGGCAACCUAUUCCCCCCACUUUGCGUGGACUGACCCCCCACCCCCCACCCCCUCCAGGAUCUGCCCAGAGGAGAGCACAGGACCUAAGCAAGCAAUCCGAUUGGUUCCUUCACUGUGAAAGGGGAAGAAAUCCUCUUUUGGGGAGGGGGGAGUGUCACUAGGUUGGUGGGAUGUGCUUUGUGCGGCCAGCAGGUGCUGCGUUUGUCACGUGGAGUGACCCUGUCGUCUAUAUGCAGAAAAGGCUGCUGUUACUCAGGCCCUUGGAUAGAGCUGUCGCCCAAGCCCGACAGGGAUAGCAUUUUGCUCUAAAGACAGUUGGAGAUGCUUUUUCAUCAUCUGCAGCAGGGAGAGGCCUGACCAGCACUGGGGAGUCUGGAAGCUUUCAAAGUGGCAGCGAAGCUUACGCAGAUCGGAUGCCCGCCUUCCCAUCUUUCCACAUUUGGAAAGUGCAUGGAGCCCUGAGUAGGAUAUCUAGCCUGCCGGGCAUGGUGCGUGAUCCCAGGGGGCCUGGGAGCUCUUCUGCAGGUGCCCUCCUGGGGGGGCUGUGCAAAGACCAGGUUACUGCAUGGUCACAGGGUGUUGUGCAAUGAGACUGUAUUUGCUGCAGAUGUGUGGAUGGGAGUCAGAAGCUAUCUCUUGUCUGUUGUUUGAUUACUACUUCUGUGUCCAAAACAACCCCCAGCAGUUCCCAUUGUGGCUCAGUGGGUUAAGAAACCAACUAGUAUCCAUGAGGAUGUGGGUUCAAUCCCUGGCCUCACUCAGUUAAGGAUCUGGUGUUGCCACAAGCUGUGGCGUAGGUCACAGGUGUGGCUUGGAUCUGUUGUUGCUGUAGCUGCAGGGUAGGCUGGCAGCUGCAGCUCCGAUUCGACCCCUAGCCCGGGAACUUCCAUAUGCUGUGGGUGU